UGCUGUUUUUAAUAUAAAAAGAAUGUUGAGUUUUCAGAGUCUUUAUUGUCAUUUUUUGUGAUAGGACCCUACCAGACUAUAUUUGAAUACGGCAUACCCAUGAAUUCUGGAACUGUUAUUCCUUAACCCAGUUUGGAGGAUAAGAGCUUACCAACUAGUUAUAAAUAUGCUGAGGUGAUGUAUUGCAAAAUAGCCAACAUACAACAAUAUGGAUGACCCUCUGUCUGGUCAACAGGAGUUUAAAUAUGGACGGGACAGUGAUGUGGCAGCUCUUCCCUGGCUCAUUCACCUCUUGCCUUCAUUUGUAAAAGGAAGAAAGAAGAAAGAGGGUCAAUGUGCAACUGAAGCUACUGAUUGUGCUGUGUGAUGAGCAUCAAUCCAUGCUUUGAGAGGAAUGAAUCAGCACAGCCCUGCCUGCACUGCGUUGGGAACAGAAGUUGCAUCCAGAAUUUUUGCAUCAUUCUGGACCAAAAAGCCAUUACCUCCAUGAUGAAGACCACUGAUGCAGCCUUCCACUACAUCAUGAGUAAAACAACUACAGAACUAAAUACCAGGUUGGAACGUAUUUAAGAAAAAUGAAACGUCUUUUGAAUUGAAAUGUCUGUUUUGUUAUGGAAAAAUCUUUAGUAUUGUGAAGGAUAAGCAUUUCUGCCUGCCAGUAAGGUAAUUGCAGUGUAUUUUAAUGUUCAAGUUUUGAGUAGGGUGGCUAAUUUUUUUUAACUCUCAUUUGAUUUAUUAAAGACCUUUAUAAUAAGUGGUUUUCAUGUCACUGCGCUGUGGUAUAAGAUAACUUUCAUUAUUCCAUACUGUAUUCUGUUUUCUAAUUGUAGCUGAGGUAUUUAAAUAAGCAGUGUUAAAUGCAAAGUGUUGUGUGUAUCAAUGUAAAUAUUAAAUGUGAUAUACUUUAAUAAAAAGAGGUUUUUCAAUAUUUCUUGUCAUUUGUCUUUUAUAGAAACAACCCAUUAGCAACAAAAGUGGCUAUUUAUCAGUAUUUU
Molecule: long non-coding RNA, 995 nt
Organism: Paramisgurnus dabryanus
Lineage: Eukaryota; Metazoa; Chordata; Actinopteri; Cypriniformes; Cobitidae
Source: RefSeq, a predicted model, not a curated record